UACGGGGGGGGCAAGCGUUGUUCGGAAUUACUGGGCGUAAAGGGCUCGUAGGUGGCCAACUAAGUCAUACGUGAAAUCCCUCGGCUUAACCGGGGAACUGCGUCUGAUACUGGAUGGCUUGAGGUUGGGAGAGGUGAGUGGAACUGCGAGUGUAGAGGUGAAAUUCGUAGAUAUUCGCAAGAACACCAGUGGCGAAGGCGGCUCACUGGCCCGGUACUGACGCUGAGGUGCGAAAGCGUGGGGAGCAAACAGG
This 253-nucleotide ribosomal RNA is filed under the name uncultured bacterium. RNAcentral describes it as "partial 16S ribosomal RNA". It matches the Rfam family "Bacterial small subunit ribosomal RNA", at positions 524 to 776 of the family's 1533-position model. The record is from RNAcentral.